Molecule: transfer RNA, 53 nt
Filed under: Phengodes sp. UPOL 000M29
Lineage: Eukaryota; Metazoa; Arthropoda; Insecta; Coleoptera; Phengodidae
Description: partial tRNA-Ser
Source: RNAcentral
AAAGAAAUAUCAUAAUAAAGCUUCUAACUUUAAAUAAAGCGUUUAUCGUUUAU